Leopardus geoffroyi (Geoffroy's cat) is the source of this 408-nucleotide long non-coding RNA. RefSeq lists it as uncharacterized. Lineage: Eukaryota; Metazoa; Chordata; Mammalia; Carnivora; Felidae. The transcript has 3 exons. The record is from RefSeq and is a predicted model, not a curated record.
GAGUAAUUACGGGCACAGACCCAGCCAGAGUUUAGGGCAGGCUUUCCUGAGGAAGUAACAUGUGAACACCCUCAAGGGUUCACCAGGUGAAACUGGCAGGGAAAGGGGUGUGACUCAUGCCAAUGUUCUCUCCUGGAGGGCAUCAUGGCAGGGACAGCUAUUGCCUUCUUGUCGGUCUCCUUUUGUGUCCUGAGAACUUGGCUUGGCAGGCUGAAGCGUGGAUGUGGUUGUGACCCAGCUUUGACCAUGCAACCAAGGACAACAUCCUAUGGAUGAUGAUGUAACAAGUUGGGAAGAAGCCAGGUCUCCAGCCACCCUGAUAGAACUGAGUGGCCCCUGCAGUCCGGACUACUCACCUCUGACAAUGGUCUCUUGUGUGAAAAAUAAAGUGAAUCUUCUUUAAGCUGC